GCCGGGCAUGGUGACGCAUGUCUGUAAUCCCAGCAACUUGGGAGGCUGAGGCAGGAGAAUUGCUUGAACCCAGGAGGCGGAGGUUGCAGUGAGCUGAGAUGGCGACAUUGCACUCCAACCUGGGUGAUAGAGUGAGACUCUGUCUCAA
RNAcentral lists this non-coding RNA (148 nucleotides) under Mandrillus leucophaeus (drill). Lineage: Eukaryota; Metazoa; Chordata; Mammalia; Primates; Cercopithecidae. RNAcentral also lists the same sequence under 1 other name. The record is from Rfam by way of RNAcentral.